Etheostoma spectabile (orangethroat darter) is the source of this 147-nucleotide long non-coding RNA. RefSeq lists it as uncharacterized. The transcript is spliced from 4 exons. The record is from RefSeq and is a predicted model, not a curated record. Lineage: Eukaryota; Metazoa; Chordata; Actinopteri; Perciformes; Percidae.
AAAAGUCCAUAAUUGAUGGUAUGGCAUCAGGUUUCAGUCUGUUGGACUUAACCCUCACCAGUGACGCUGUUGUAUCAGAAGCACAGCUCUCUAAAUAGUCUGUCGCUAAAAAAUACAGACUCGAAAUCCAGGGGCUGUCGGAGGGCU